RNAcentral lists this ribosomal RNA (1343 nucleotides) under uncultured bacterium. RNAcentral describes it as "16S ribosomal RNA". It matches the Rfam family "Bacterial small subunit ribosomal RNA", at positions 28 to 1378 of the family's 1533-position model. The record is from RNAcentral.
GACGAACGCUGGCGGCGUGCUUAACACAUGCAAGUCGAACGGAAAGGCCCUGCUUUUGUGGGGUGCUCGAGUAGCGAACGGGUGAGUAACACGUGAGUAACCUGCCCUUGACUUUGGGAUAACUUCAGGAAACUGGGGCUAAUACCGGAUAGGAGCUCCUGCUGCAUGGUGGGGGUUGGAAAGUUUCGGCGGUUGGGGAUGGACUCGCGGCUUAUCAGCUUGUUGGUGGGGUAGUGGCUUACCAAGGCUUUGACGGGUAGCCGGCCUGAGAGGGUGACCGGCCACAUUGGGACUGAGAUACGGCCCAGACUCCUACGGGAGGCAGCAGUGGGGAAUAUUGCACAAUGGGCGGAAGCCUGAUGCAGCAACGCCGCGUGCGGGAUGACGGCCUUCGGGUUGUAAACCGCUUUCGCCUGUGACGAAGCGUGAGUGACGGUAAUGGGUAAAGAAGCACCGGCUAACUACGUGCCAGCAGCCGCGGUGAUACGUAGGGUGCGAGCGUUGUCCGGAUUUAUUGGGCGUAAAGGGCUCGUAGGUGGUUGAUCGCGUCGGAAGUGUAAUCUUGGGGCUUAACCCUGAGCGUGCUUUCGAUACGGGUUGACUUGAGGAAGGUAGGGGAGAAUGGAAUUCCUGGUGGAGCGGUGGAAUGCGCAGAUAUCAGGAGGAACACCAGUGGCGAAGGCGGUUCUCUGGGCCUUUCCUGACGCUGAGGAGCGAAAGCGUGGGGAGCGAACAGGCUUAGAUACCCUGGUAGUCCACGCUGUAAACGGUGGGUACUAGGUGUGGGGUCCAUUCCACGGGUUCCGUGCCGUAGCUAACGCUUUAAGUACCCCGCCUGGGGAGUACGGCCGCAAGGCUAAAACUCAAAGGAAUUGACGGGGCCCCGCACAAGCGGCGGAGCAUGCGGAUUAAUUCGAUGCAACGCGUAGAACCUUACCUGGGUUUGACAUGGAUCGGGAGUGCUCAGAGAUGGGUGUGCCUCUUUUGGGGUCGGUUCACAGGUGGUGCAUGGCUGUCGUCAGCUCGUAUCGUGAGAUGUUGGGUUAAGUCCCGCAACGAGCGCAACCCUUGUUCACUGUUGCCAGCACGUUAUGGUGGGGACUCAGUGGAGACCGCCGGGGUCAACUCGGAGGAAGGUGGGGAUGACGUCAAGUCAUCAUGCCCCUUAUGUCCAGGGCUUCACGCAUGCUACAAUGGCUGGUACAGAGAGUGGCGAGCCUGUGAGGGUGAGCGAAUCUCGGAAAGCCGGUCUCAGUUCAGAUUGGGGUCUGCAACUCGACCUCAUGAAGUCGGAGUCGCUAGUAAUCGCAGAUCAGCAACGCUGCGGUGAAUACGUUCCCGGG